AAACAUCAUUUUGUGUGUAAGUGUGUAUUAGUACAUGCUAACGAUAUUCAAAAAGUACAUACCUCAAAGAAAACGAUGACGCGAGUUAUCGUCUCUAACGUUCGAGGACUACAAAAAACACUCGGAUUGUAGGCAACAGUUUACUUCCUGGGAUUAGUGACGUAGAUAAGACCAACAUUAUCAUAGUUCAGCCCUCUCUGCUUUGCUUGGGUACGCCCUCAAAGACGAGGGUGGGGAGCGCCGAGUCAGAAGAGAGCUAAAAUGGCGGAGGUUGGGAGUCCCUGCUUUGACUCUGUUUGCAAACUCUUGUUUCAUCGUUUAAGCGAUUAAAUCUCUCGAGUAGACGCUGUCUCUUUAGAUGCGAGGGCAAAAUAGCACUUUAUGGACUUCCACAGAGGACAUCAUGUUUAAUACGGUUCCGGAAAAAUCCAGUCAGAAGUUGUUCACGGAGUUUUCACAAUAACUGCUUCUCAUGAACCGAAGCUGGACGUCUCCUCCUGAAAGUUGGAUUACUGUGCACUUCUGGAUCACAGGCUAUUCGCAGCUGGACACAUCCUUCUACACUGUAUGCAAACAUGCAACAUCAUAACACACAGUACAAGGAGUCAGACUGGCAUAUGAGGAGCAAAGGUGUGUAACACACAUGAUGUAUUUAGCUAGUGAAACCACUACCAGUCUUAAAUGUAUAACUGAUGAUGACAAAGUUUUUUUUCUCUGCAUAAUCAUAGGAACCCAGGCAGUAGCAUCGUUUCACAAUGUUUCCAUCACCAUCAUCAGUGGAUGCCUUUGCCGUCCGUAGCCUGAGAUUUCAGAUUUGCAGCAAAAAAAUUUGAUUUUCUCAUUUAUUGGAAUGCUAUGCAGGUUGUACCUUGCAGCCAUCCAUUACAAUGUCACCAAGCUGUAACAAAAGCAGGAGAGGGAAAGUACAAGGCUAUGUUCCCAAAACACAAAUGACAUACCUUAUGUGGAUGAUGUGAUCAGGCUUGUGUUUGAUGAGGUAUUUGAAGAUAAGCUGAAGGAAACCCUGAUUCCAAUGGACCUGGCAUCACAGUUUGAGAGACCUUCAAAGGAGGACGUGAUUGCAUGCCAUC
Molecule: non-coding RNA, 1091 nt
Organism: Paramisgurnus dabryanus
Lineage: Eukaryota; Metazoa; Chordata; Actinopteri; Cypriniformes; Cobitidae
Source: RefSeq, a predicted model, not a curated record